This 477-nucleotide ribosomal RNA is filed under the name Perinereis anderssoni. RNAcentral describes it as "partial large subunit ribosomal RNA". It matches the Rfam family "Bacterial large subunit ribosomal RNA", at positions 1831 to 2604 of the family's 2925-position model. Lineage: Eukaryota; Metazoa; Annelida; Polychaeta; Phyllodocida; Nereididae. The record is from RNAcentral.
CGCCUAUUGUACAUAUAAUAGGUCCAUCCUGCCCAGUGAAUAUGAUUUCAACGGCCGCGGUAUCCUGACCGUGCAAAGGUAGCAUAAUCAUUUGCCUUUUAAUUGAAGGCUAGUAUGAAAGGACUCACAUGAAUAAAGCUGUCUCAACAGGAUUAACUUUAAACUGAUUUUUAGGUGAAGACGCCUGAAUAUUAAUAAAGGACAAGAAGACCCUAUAGAGCUUUAUUGAAAAUAGCAUAAAACUUUUUAUCAAUUUGGUUGGGACAACCAAAAGACAUUUAAACCUCUUUUUACAUAAUUAAUUACCCCUACCCUUCAUUGAAUUAGAAUUCAAGCUACCUUAGGGAUAACAGGCUAAUCCCGCUAGAGAGACCACAUUGACAGCGGGGAUUGGCACCUCGAUGUUGGCUUAGUGUAACCAUUAGGCGCAGCCGCUUAAUAGAGUUGGUUUGUUCAACCAUUAAAUCACUACAUGAG